RNAcentral lists this ribosomal RNA (500 nucleotides) under uncultured bacterium. RNAcentral's name for it is "partial 16S ribosomal RNA". The record is from RNAcentral.
ACGAUUACUAGCAAUUCCGACUUCGUGCAGGCGAGUUGCAGCCUGCAGUCCGAACUGGGACGUUGUUUCUGAGUUUUGCUCCACCUCGCGGUCUUGCUUCUCUUUGUUUAACGCCAUUGUAGUACGUGUGUAGCCCAAGUCAUAAAGGGCAUGAUGAUUUGACGUCAUCCCCACCUUCCUCCGUUUUGUCAACGGCAGUCUGGCCAGAGUCCUCUUGCGUAGUAACUGACCAUAAGGGUUGCGCUCGUUGCGGGACUUAACCCAACAUCUCACGACACGAGCUGACGACAACCAUGCACCACCUGUCUCUGCGUCCCGAAGGAAACACAUAUUUCUAUGUGCGUCGCAGGAUGUCAAGACUUGGUAAGGUUCUUCGCGUUGCGUCGAAUUAAACCACAUACUCCACUGCUUGUGCGGGCCCCCGUCAAUUCCUUUGAGUUUCAACCUUGCGGUCGUACUCCCCAGGUGGAUUACUUAUUGUGUUAACUGCGGCACUGAAG